RNAcentral lists this long non-coding RNA (206 nucleotides) under Malus domestica (apple). RNAcentral's name for it is "long non-coding RNA (MDOM_LNC003661)". The record is from RNAcentral. Lineage: Eukaryota; Viridiplantae; Streptophyta; Magnoliopsida; Rosales; Rosaceae.
GUACUCAUUGACGCAAGAAUUAGAAUAGAAGAAAAAUCUUUUAAUUAACUUUUAUGUCUUUUGGGGGAAAAAGAGUUAUAGGUUCGCAGCUAGAAUAAUGAAAUUUUAACUUUGAAAUUCUAUUUGGCAUCUUGAAGGAUGAGGAUGUUGAUUGGGGUAUAAAAGUUGAACUCAUGAAAUUUCAACAAUUUGGAAAUAUCAACACU